AUUGAACGCUGGCGGCAUGCUUUACACAUGCAAGUCGAACGGUAACAGGCCGCAAGGUGCUGACGAGUGGCGAACGGGUGAGUAAUGCAUCGGAACGUGCCCAGUCGUGGGGGAUAACUGCUCGAAAGAGCAGCUAAUACCGCAUACGAGCUAUGGAUGAAAGCGGGGGACCGUAAGGCCUCGCGCGAUUGGAGCGGCCGAUGUCAGAUUAGGUAGUUGGUGGGGUAAAGGCUCACCAAGCCAACGAUCUGUAGCUGGUCUGAGAGGACGACCAGCCACACUGGGACUGAGACACGGCCCAGACUCCUACGGGAGGCAGCAGUGGGGAAUUUUGGACAAUGGGGGCAACCCUGAUCCAGCAAUGCCGCGUGCAGGAAGAAGGCCUUCGGGUUGUAAACUGCUUUUGUACGGAACGAAACGGUCUGGGUUAAUACCCUGGGCUAAUGACGGUACCGUAAGAAUAAGCACCGGCUAACUACGUGCCAGCCGCCGCCGUAA
Molecule: ribosomal RNA, 498 nt
Filed under: uncultured bacterium
Lineage: Bacteria
Description: partial 16S ribosomal RNA
Rfam family: Bacterial small subunit ribosomal RNA
Source: RNAcentral